CAUAACAUCUGUACUUCAGACCUCAAAUUAGGGCAUGAAAAUGUUUCUAUGUAUGCUUCACCAACAAUUUAGCCAGAAGCCCUAAUUUCAGUUACAGCUCGAAUUAGAGAAUCAAAUGAUAUUGUAAGCAUAUGUACCGAGUGCGUUGAUGGGAGAAACUGGUGUUCGGAAGAAGAUGACAGAUGAUACGAUGACUACCACUCGCUUCACGCAGUUCCCCACAGCGUGUGUCACUGGUGAUACCAUUCCUAGAAUUAUGUAUGAAACCUGCUUGCACAAGAUAUAUUGUUAGAAUAGAAUGUUAUUCGGGUUUUAA
Molecule: long non-coding RNA, 316 nt
Organism: Helianthus annuus (common sunflower)
Lineage: Eukaryota; Viridiplantae; Streptophyta; Magnoliopsida; Asterales; Asteraceae
Exons: 2
Source: RefSeq, a predicted model, not a curated record